Molecule: unclassified non-coding RNA, 323 nt
Filed under: soil metagenome
Description: partial contains 5.8S ribosomal RNA, internal transcribed spacer 2, and large subunit ribosomal RNA
Rfam family: 5.8S ribosomal RNA (bases 1-120)
Source: RNAcentral
GAUGAAGAACGCAGCGAAAUGCGAUAAGUAAUGCGAAUUGCAGAAUUCAGUGAGUCAUCGAAUCUUUGAACGCACAUUGCGCCCUGUGGUAUUCCGCAGGGCAUGCCUGUUCGAGCGUCAUUUCAACCCUCAAGCUCUGCUUGGUGUUGGGCCUUGCCCGCUGCGGCCGGCCCUAAAGACAGUGGCGGUGCCGCCUGGCCCUGAGCGUAGUACAUCUCUCGCUCCAGUGCCCGGUGGUAGCCUGCCAGAACCCCAACUCUCGUGGUUGACCUCGGAUCAGGUAGGGAUACCCGCUGAACUUAAGCAUAUCAAUAAGCGGAGGA